RNAcentral lists this ribosomal RNA (245 nucleotides) under Boophis marojezensis. Its description in RNAcentral is "partial 16S ribosomal RNA". It matches the Rfam family "Archaeal large subunit ribosomal RNA", at positions 2068 to 2405 of the family's 2987-position model. Lineage: Eukaryota; Metazoa; Chordata; Amphibia; Anura; Mantellidae. The record is from RNAcentral.
UAUCAAUGGCAUCACGAGGAUCCCACUGUCUCCCCCCUCCAAUCAGUGAAACUGAUCUCUCCGUGAAGAAGCGGGGAUAUUUACAUAAGACGAGAAGACCCCAUGGAGCUUUAAACCCGAUGUCACCCAUUUUCCUCUACACCCUAAUAUUCAAUUUGGCCCUGCCCUGUCGGUUUUAGGUUGGGGUGACCACGGAGUAUAAUAUACCCUCCAUGAAAAAGGGAGUAAUAAUCCUUAUUAGAGAA